RNAcentral lists this ribosomal RNA (373 nucleotides) under Hyphomicrobium sp. RNAcentral's name for it is "bacterial SSU rRNA". It matches the Rfam family "Bacterial small subunit ribosomal RNA", at positions 1 to 403 of the family's 1533-position model. Lineage: Bacteria; Pseudomonadati; Pseudomonadota; Alphaproteobacteria; Hyphomicrobiales; Hyphomicrobiaceae. The record is from RNAcentral.
UCAACUUGAGAGUUUGAUCCUGGCUCAGAACGAACGCUGGCGGCAGGCCUAACACAUGCAAGUCGAACGCCCCGCAAGGGGAGUGGCAGACGGGUGAGUAACACGUGGGAACCUUCCCUAUAGUACGGAAUAGCCCAGGGAAACUUGGAGUAAUACCGUAUACGCCCGAGAGGGGAAAGAUUUAUCGCUAUAGGAUGGGCCCGCGUAGGAUUAGCUAGUUGGUGAGGUAAUGGCUCACCAAGGCGACGAUCCUUAGCUGGUUUGAGAGAACGACCAGCCACACUGGGACUGAGACACGGCCCAGACUCCUACGGGAGGCAGCAGUGGGGAAUAUUGGACAAUGGGCGCAAGCCUGAUCCAGCCAUGCCGCGUG